Oreochromis aureus is the source of this 339-nucleotide long non-coding RNA. RefSeq lists it as uncharacterized. Lineage: Eukaryota; Metazoa; Chordata; Actinopteri; Cichliformes; Cichlidae. The record is from RefSeq and is a predicted model, not a curated record. The transcript has 3 exons.
UUUAACGUCAACAAACAUGCCACAUCCUUAGGACUUCGUUAGAGUGACAGUUGUUUGUUUCAAGGUAAACCAUUCCCAGAGGUCUAACGAGACACCUCUGAAGACUUGGGUAAUUGCAAAGGAGGAUGGAGAAGUGAUUGCAGCUCAUUGCAAUUGUAUGGCAGGACUAUCAGAAUCAUGCUCGCACGUUGGAGCUGUUCUUUUUGCAGUUGAAGCUGGGGUGAAAAUGAGAGCGACAUGCACAUCAGAGCAGUGCAAGUGGCUGAUGCCAUCUCAUGUUAAAAAGAUUCCUGCUUGCCCAGUAACUCUGAUUGACUUCUCUUCAGCAAAGUCAAAAAA